GAAGGUGAAGGUUAAAUCGUAACCUAGCCUUCACAGUGUUUUGGGAAGGGCAAUGCGAUGUAACCUUCACCUUCGAUAUGAUUGCAAAGCCUAUCCUGUAAAAUUCUCGACUUCGCCAGAAGCUGUUAUGUACAUAAGUAAACAUGUAGUAUACGUUUCAUGUGAUUUCAUUCAUAAAGCAUCUUGCUGAUUUAAACUAGUGCAAUACAUUUGCAUGUUUUGUGUUUUUGUGCAAUUUUAAUGAAGCCAACAUCCAUAGCCCUAAGCUUUGAAAGAUUUAAACCAGUGUCGUGCAAGUCAAGAGCUUAUGUCAUACUAAAUCUUGAUCUUAGCAAAGCUUGUCUUGGAAACGGAUGUGGCUACUUUUGAAAUACACAUAAUUAAUGCCAUAUAAAGUAGCUACGUCUAUAAUUGCCGAGCGAUGU
This 425-nucleotide small RNA is filed under the name Spisula solidissima (Atlantic surf clam). Its description in RNAcentral is "cnRNA276". Lineage: Eukaryota; Metazoa; Mollusca; Bivalvia; Venerida; Mactridae. The record is from RNAcentral.